This 253-nucleotide ribosomal RNA is filed under the name uncultured bacterium. RNAcentral's name for it is "partial 16S ribosomal RNA". It matches the Rfam family "Bacterial small subunit ribosomal RNA", at positions 524 to 776 of the family's 1533-position model. The record is from RNAcentral.
UACAGAGGUGGCAAGCGUUGUUCGGAAUUACUGGGCGUAAGGGGCGCGUAGGCGGCCUUCUAAGUCAGACGUGAAAUCUCCCGGCUUAACCUGGGAACUGCGUCUGAUACUGGGAGGCUUGAGUAUGGGAGAGGGAUGUAGAAUUCCAGGUGUAGCGGUGAAAUGCGUAGAUAUCUGGAGGAAUACCGGUGGCGAAGGCGGCAUCCUGGACCAUAACUGACGCUGAGGCGCGAAAGCUAGGGGAGCAAACGGG